GGUGCUAAUACCGCAUAACCAUAGUUACCGCAUGGUAACUAUGUAAAAGGUGGCUAUGCUACCGCUUUUGGAUGGGCCCGCGACGCAUUAGCUAGUUGGUGGGGUAAAGGCUUACCAAGGCAAUGAUGCGUAGCCGAACUGAGAGGUUGAUCGGCCACAUUGGGACUGAGACACGGCCCAAACUCCUACGGGAGGCAGCAGUAGGGAAUCUUCCACAAUGGGCGAAAGCCUGAUGGAGCAACGCCGCGUGGGUGAAGAAGGUCUUCGGAUCGUAAAACCCUGUUGUUAGAGAAGAAAGUGCGUGAGAGUAACUGUUCACGUUUCGACGGUAUCUAACCAGAAAGCCACGGCUAACUACGUGCCAACAGCCGCGGUAAUACGUAGGUGGCAAGCGUUAUCCGGAUUUAUUGGGCGUAAAGAGAACGCAGGCGGUCUUUUAAGUCUGAUGUGAAAGCCUUCGGCUUAACCGGAGUAGUGCAUUGGAAACUGGGAGACUUGAGUGCAGAAGAGGAGAGUGGAACUCCAUGUGUAGCGGUGAAAUGCGUAGAUAUAUGGAAGAACACCAGUGGCGAAAGCGGCUCUCUGGUCUGUAACUGACGCUGAGGUUCGAAAGCGUGGGUAGCAAACAGGAUUAGAUACCCUGGUAGUCCACGCCGUAAACGA
Molecule: ribosomal RNA, 663 nt
Filed under: uncultured bacterium
Lineage: Bacteria
Description: bacterial SSU rRNA
Rfam family: Bacterial small subunit ribosomal RNA
Source: RNAcentral